GACGAACGCUGGCGGCGUGCUUAACACAUGCAAGUCGAACGGAAAGGCCCUGCUUGCAGGGUACUCGAGUGGCGAACGGGUGAGUAACACGUGGGUGAUCUGCCCUGCACUUCGGGAUAAGCCUGGGAAACUGGGUCUAAUACCGGAUAGGAGCCAUUUUUAGUGUGAUGGUUGGAAAGUUUUUUCGGUGUGGGAUGAGCUCGCGGCCUAUCAGCUUGUUGGUGGGGUAAUGGCCUACCAAGGCGGCGACGGGUAGCCGGCCUGAGAGGGUGGACGGCCAAAUUGGGACGGAGAUACGGCCCAGACUCCUACGGGAGGCAGCAGUGGGGAAGAUUGCACAAUGGGCGGAAGCCUUAUGCAGCGACGCAGCGUGGGGGAUGACGGCCUUCGGGUUGUAAACAUCUUUCGACAGGGAAGAAGCUUCGGUGACGGUACCUGUAUAAGAAGCACCGGCUAACUACGUG
This 464-nucleotide ribosomal RNA is filed under the name uncultured bacterium. RNAcentral's name for it is "partial 16S ribosomal RNA". It matches the Rfam family "Bacterial small subunit ribosomal RNA", at positions 28 to 507 of the family's 1533-position model. The record is from RNAcentral.